AUACGGAGGGUGCAAGCGUUAAUCGGAAUUACUGGGCGUAAAGCGCGCGUAGGCGGUUUAGUAAGUCGGAUGUGAAAGCCCAGGGCUCAACCCUGGAAUUGCAUUCGAUACUGCUUGACUAGAGUAUGGUAGAGGGAAGUGGAAUUUCCGGUGUAGCGGUGAAAUGCGUAGAUAUCGGAAGGAACACCAGUGGCGAAGGCGACUUCCUGGGCCAAUACUGACGCUGAGGUGCGAAAGCGUGGGGAGCAAACAGGAUUAGAAACCCCGGUAGUCC
This 274-nucleotide ribosomal RNA is filed under the name uncultured bacterium. Its description in RNAcentral is "partial 16S ribosomal RNA". It matches the Rfam family "Bacterial small subunit ribosomal RNA", at positions 523 to 796 of the family's 1533-position model. The record is from RNAcentral.